GACGAACGCUGGCGGCGUGCUUAACACAUGCAAGUCGAACGGAAAGGCCCUGCUUUUGUGGGGUGCUCGAGUGGCGAACGGGUGAGUAACACGUGAGUAACCUGCCCUUGACUUUGGGAUAACUUCAGGAAACUGGGGCUAAUACCGGAUAGGAGCUCCUGCUGCAUGGUGGGGGGGGGAAAGUUUCGGCGGUUGGGGAUGGACUGGCGGCUUAUCAGCUUGUUGGUGGGGUAGUGGCUUACCAAGGCUUUGACGGGUAGCCGGCCUGAGAGGGUGACCGGCCACAUUGGGACUGAGAUACGGCCCAGAGUCCUACGGGAGGCAGCAGUGGGGAAUAUUGCACAAUGGGCGGAAGCCUGAGGCAGCAACGCCGCGUGCGGGAUGACGGCCUUCGGGUUGUAAACCGCUUUCGCCUGUGACGAAGCGUGAGUGACGGUAAUGGGUAAAGAAGCACCGGCUAACUACGUG
RNAcentral lists this ribosomal RNA (468 nucleotides) under uncultured bacterium. RNAcentral's name for it is "partial 16S ribosomal RNA". It matches the Rfam family "Bacterial small subunit ribosomal RNA", at positions 28 to 507 of the family's 1533-position model. The record is from RNAcentral.